CGGACAGAAACGUUCAUGGCACUAGGGGAAAUAACGAGUACUACUUCUCUUCGUCUUCAUCUUACACAGCCACCAUCCUCCCUCUCUCGAAACCCUGCCACUUUCAUCACCCGAUCUAAUCCCAAGUCGCCGCCACCUCCUCAUUUUGACUCCGAUCAAUGAAAUCAUCAUUCACGGCCAUCACCGGCCCCCCUUUUAUUUCCAACAACGAUCCGUGUCCAACCCCUUCUUUGAAUCCUCGAUCGAUUAAGUCCUCACCGAGUCUUCCUCCCUCAUUUUCGCUUCCGGGAGAUCGACGACGUUAAGAGAGAUCAUCUGAACCCAUCUCGACGACGGUAAGUCGAUUCUUAUCCUUAGAUUCGAUUUCUUUUUUUGUUUAGAUCAGAUUUUUACAAGAGAUGCGAUUUCAUCCUAGGUACAGAAGGGCUCGCCGGCGAUUUCCACCUUCUCUUGACAACUCAUCAGCGAUAAUGACGGUGGUGAUCCCCUCUUUGCGACCGUCGCGGCGAUUACGGACCCGAUGAGCUUCCCCAUCCACUAUGCGUACUGUUCCUCUCUUCAAUCUGAGUAAAAACUAUCACCAAACUGCCACAAAAUUCAGCCCCAUUGUCAAACAGAAACAUCCAUCAUUCCAAGCCAAUGACCAAGACAGUCCAAAUGGAAACAACAAAUCAGAAAUCACAUUGUCUGAUUUCGGACUAACGCCUUGCUUGGUAGAGCGUCUUCAGAAAUCACAUGGUCUGAUUUCGGACUAACGCCUUGCUUGGUAGAGCGUCUUAAAACCAUGUAAACCAUGUAUUUUAUGUGUAUUUGAAAUGUAAGGGAUUGAUAGUAAAGAUUUUGUUAAAAUCUUUUGUUUGAUAGUUAUGUUAAUCGUAAGGGAUUGAUAGUAAAGAUUUUGUUAAAAUCUUUUGUUUGAUAGUUAUGUUAAAAUGAGAUUUAAGAAAUUAAAAUAGGAUUUGAAAAGUGUAUUUUAAAGUGGAAUUUGAAAUCUUAUUUAUAUUAGUAAGAUUUGAGAAUCUUUACAAGCAUAUAUUUAAAAAUUUAAAUUAUAUAUAUUUGAGUUUUUAUUUUUGCAUACUAAAUAAAAAAUUCAAACAAAUACAUAAAUUUUGAAAUACAUCAUUUAAAAUCACUUCAUACCAAUCAAGGUUAAGUAAAUUGCAUGAGAAUAAGACCAACUUGAAUGACAGCUCAGAAAGGUUUGAUUGCCCAAUACCUACUAGAAAUGCCACUCCCCAUCAGAGUGAAUAUAAGCCCCUUAAGGAUAACAUGUCAUAACUCCCAAACGCAUAAAAGUACCAAUUAACACAGUAACCCUGUACGUGGUUUAACUGGUUGAUUAUCACAUUUUUAUAAUAACCUAAUUAUAAUUUUUGAUUAUCUAAUAAUAUAACCUUACCCAAUCAUUAAAUAAAAAAUGAAUGAUUUAGUUGAAACAAUGAGUCGGUUUGAUUACAAAUUGAUUUGAUUAAUAUAAAUAUAUUUAUUUUUCGAAUAACAACAACACCUAGAAAAUAUUUCUGGGCACCAAACAAUAGCCUUAAAAGCGAACAAACCCAGAGAGUUGAAACCAUUUGAACACAUGCCAUAACAAUUAAUAAUUAAUAAUUUUAAAUAGGCAAAAAGCUCUAAAAAAUCACCAAUUUUUCUGAAAUUUAAAAAUAAAUACUAAUAGCACCAACUUCUCAAUUUUUUAGAUUAAAAUAACCCGCUAUUUAUAUCCAUCAAGUUAAAUUGUAUGAUUCAAUUUAUGGAAUGCUGAGUCAACGAAAGUUGAUAUUUGAUCCAGAAGAUUGUCUACGUGUCUUGCCACGUAGAAUUUGUUAAAUGAAGUAAUUUAUUUAGAAACCAAAAUAAAUUUCGUAUAACUUAAAAGAAAGAGAAAACUCCCUAAUCUAAACGCAAAACAAAAUUCCAUAUCUUAUCCCUUCUUCAUCAACACCACCCAUUAGCAAUCUGAACAUAAAACCUUUAAUCUUCUAUCUUCGACACAAAUCCUAAUCUACACUCGAAUAUACAANNNNNNNNNNNNNNNNNNNNNNNNNNNNACCUGAGAACUAAUCGCUUCCUUUCUUUCGGGAGGAGACGAAAAUAAGGAUUGGAGUACUGCGAGGAGGCGGCGGCGGCAGGAUUGGAGUAUUGCGAGACGGCGGCGGCGACAGGAUUGCGUAUUGAUCAGAGACGGCGACGGCGGGCGAAAAGGAUUGGAGUUUCGAAGAGUUGAGUUUUGAGAAGUCGUGAGAAAGUGAGUUUUGCUGCUGUUGCUUUUGGAAUCUUAUUUCC
This 2286-nucleotide long non-coding RNA is filed under the name Linum usitatissimum (flax). RNAcentral describes it as "long non-coding RNA (LUSI_LNC005657)". Lineage: Eukaryota; Viridiplantae; Streptophyta; Magnoliopsida; Malpighiales; Linaceae. The record is from RNAcentral.